CAAUAGCGUAUACUAAAGUUGUUGCGAUUAAAAAGCUCGUAGUUGGAUCUCAGGCAUGGGCGCACGGUCCGCCUAGCGGCGGUCACUGUGUGUUUUGUUUCCCAUCCUACGCUUCCCGGUUAUCAGCCCAUGGUGCUCUUCACUGAGCGUUUUGGGUGGCCGGAACGUUUACUUUGAAGAAAUUAGAGUGUUCAAAGCAGGCACGUCGCCUGAAUAAUGGUGCAUGGAAUAAUGGAAUAGGACCUCGGUUCUAUUUUGCUGGUUUUCGGAACACGAGGUAAUGAUUAAGAGGGACAGACGGGGGCAUCCGUAUUGCGGUGUUAGAGGUGAAAUUCUUGGAUCAUCGCAAGACGAACAACUGCGAAAGCAUUUGCCAAGCAUGUUUUCAUUAG
RNAcentral lists this ribosomal RNA (392 nucleotides) under uncultured eukaryote. Its description in RNAcentral is "partial 18S ribosomal RNA". It matches the Rfam family "Eukaryotic small subunit ribosomal RNA", at positions 592 to 976 of the family's 1831-position model. The record is from RNAcentral.